UACGUAGGGUGCGAGCGUUGUCCGGAAUUACUGGGCGUAAAGAGCUCGUAGGUGGUUUGUCGCGUUGUCCGUGAAAACUCACAGCUUAACUGUGGGCGUGCGGGCGAUACGGGCAGACUGGAGUACUGCAGGGGAGACUGGAAUUCCUGGUGUAGCGGUGGAAUGCGCAGAUAUCUGGAGGAAUACCGGUGGCGAAGGCGGCAUCCUGGACCGACAUUGACGCUGAACGGCGAAAGCUAGGGGAGCAAACGGG
This 253-nucleotide ribosomal RNA is filed under the name uncultured bacterium. RNAcentral's name for it is "partial 16S ribosomal RNA". It matches the Rfam family "Bacterial small subunit ribosomal RNA", at positions 524 to 776 of the family's 1533-position model. The record is from RNAcentral.